Penaeus monodon (black tiger shrimp) is the source of this 308-nucleotide long non-coding RNA. RefSeq lists it as uncharacterized. The transcript is spliced from 3 exons. The record is from RefSeq and is a predicted model, not a curated record. Lineage: Eukaryota; Metazoa; Arthropoda; Malacostraca; Decapoda; Penaeidae.
GCUGAGCGACCAGGCCCAGGAAAGUCAGCGCUCUUUGUCUGUCGUUUUGUGAAGGUUACUGAGGCAAGGUGGUUCACUGCUGGCGUUGAAAGGUUUAUACCGUUUGAACGCUGAAAGAAACUGGCGGAACACUGCUAGUGUGAUAGGGCUCUUUCAUAAAAUCGUGUCACAAACUCUAUGCGUCGCCAAGUAAACUCAACCAAGCCAGAGAGUAGAUUCUUCAAGAUUCCACAAAACCCAGAUACAAAGUUUUCCAUGUAAGCAGUGCUUCUAAACUUGCUGGUAUUGGUAAGUAGCAAAAUUCAUUU